Falco peregrinus (peregrine falcon) is the source of this 329-nucleotide long non-coding RNA. RefSeq lists it as uncharacterized. The record is from RefSeq and is a predicted model, not a curated record. Lineage: Eukaryota; Metazoa; Chordata; Aves; Falconiformes; Falconidae. The transcript has 2 exons.
UCUGUUAGGUAAAGCACAGUUCGCUACUCAUGAAGAUCUAGAACUAGGAGGCACUUCUGGGUCAUCUUGUCCCAUCUCCUGCUUUAGUUAGGCAGUCAGUUCAUAAAACUUCAAUGCCAGCAGUCCAUUGGUUUCUCUUGUGACACCGAUUGCAAUUCGUUACACCCCCAGGUACAGGAACGAGGACCCGUGUCCUGAAAUGGAAAGGCAAAUGGAAGAAGUGCUGGUUUUGUGUAGCACAGGGUAUGUUUAUAGAAUUCACUACUACAGAAUGGCAUUGAGAGCGAGAACAUUGUGGUAUUAAAAUAAAUCAAAUAAUGCUUUUUAUC